CUCAGAACGAACGCUGGCGGCGCGUUUUAAGCAUGCAAGUCGAGCGGUACUACCCUUCGGGGUAGCUAGAGCGGCGAACGGGUGAGUAACACGUAGAUAAUCUGCCUUGAGGUUGGGGAUAGCCUGUGGAAACACAGGGUAAUACCGAAUAAGCCCUACGGGGGAAAGGUGCUAAGGCACCGCCUUAAGAUGAGUCUGCGGCUCAUUAGUUAGUUGGUGGGGUAACGGCCUACCAAGGCGACGAUGAGUAGCCGGCCUGAGAGGGUGGACGGGCACACUGGGACUGAGACACGGCCCAGACUCCUACGGGAGGCAGCAGCUAAGAAUCUUCCGCAAUGGGCGCAAGCCUGACGGAGCGACGCCGCGUGAACGAUGAAGGCCGUGAGGUUGUAAAGUUCUUUUCUUACUGAAGAAUAACCGUUGCAGGGAAUGGCAGCGGGAUGACGUUAGGUAAGGAAUAAGCCCCGGCUAAUUACGUGCCAGCAGCCGCGGUAACACGUAAGGGGCAAGCGUUGUUCGGAAUUAUUGGGCGUAAAGGGCGUGUAGGCGGUUUUACAAGUCUGGUGUGACAUACCGAAGAUUAACUGCGGGGACGCGCUGGAAACUGUAAGACUAGAGUACAGGAGGGGGACCUGGAA
Molecule: ribosomal RNA, 638 nt
Filed under: uncultured organism
Description: bacterial SSU rRNA
Rfam family: Bacterial small subunit ribosomal RNA
Source: RNAcentral